Molecule: small nucleolar RNA, 138 nt
Organism: Tachyglossus aculeatus (Australian echidna)
Lineage: Eukaryota; Metazoa; Chordata; Mammalia; Monotremata; Tachyglossidae
Source: RefSeq, a predicted model, not a curated record
CUCCUCUCAGAGUCACAUCUGGAGAGUUUCCAGUACUCUAUCAGUCUUGACUACAGGAGGGAGAGUCAGGCAGAGGCAUACCCAUUCCAAUUCUAGUUUGGGCAGUGGCUAGUGAGUGGAAGGCAAUCUGCUACAAGU